Molecule: long non-coding RNA, 393 nt
Organism: Pseudophryne corroboree (corroboree frog)
Lineage: Eukaryota; Metazoa; Chordata; Amphibia; Anura; Myobatrachidae
Exons: 3
Source: RefSeq, a predicted model, not a curated record
AGGAGAGCUGCUGACAGAGGAGAGUGAACCCUGGUAGAGAGAAGCCUGAUGGUGGCAAGAUGCAGUAAACCAGCAGACGCUGACCUGAGACGGUACACAGCCACACAGGAUCAGUAGCGUGUACCGAAGGAGGGGGAGACGCCGCACAUCGGGAGGCUGUCACCCUGCAAAGCAUCAGUGAGGAGAAGUCACCGACAGGAGCCGGCAAUAGCAGCAGACAGUACAGGGCUCUCUUGAAGUGUUCAUCUUUCUGCCACAGGCUUCCGUAUCGCGGAAGUCUGUAGAGCUGUCGAAUCUACUCGUCGCCUGGAAGAUACAGGACAUGGAUGAUCGAAGAGUACUAUCUCAGUGGAGAAAGUAAUAAAUGGAAAUGUCUAGUGGAGUCUUUUUCCC